RNAcentral lists this ribosomal RNA (279 nucleotides) under uncultured bacterium. RNAcentral describes it as "partial 16S ribosomal RNA". It matches the Rfam family "Bacterial small subunit ribosomal RNA", at positions 506 to 784 of the family's 1533-position model. The record is from RNAcentral.
UGCCAGCCGCCGCGGUAAUACAGAGGGUGCAAACGUUGUUCGGAAUUACUGGGCAUAAAGCGCACGUAGGCGGCUAAGUAAGUGUGAGGUGAAAUCCCACGGCUCACCCGUGGAACUGCUUUGCAUACUGCUUGGCUCGAGGAAGGUAGGGGAGAGCAGAACUCUUGGAGGAGUGGUGAAAUGCGUAGAUAUCAAGAGGAAUACCAGUGGCGAAGGCGGCUCUCUGGUCCUUUUCUGACGCUGAGGUGCGAAAGCUAGGGUAGCGAACGGGAUUAGAUA